AUCUGGUUUUGUCUCGGUGACCCUGCUUUGCCCCACACUUUGGGAUUUGAGCAGGCGGGGAUUUAUAUUGUCUGGUAUUGGUACAUAGUUUACCAUAAUCACAGGAUAUUAUUGAAAGAUUUCCCUACCAAUUCACUGCCUUAAAAGCAUUAUAUUAUUUGCUCUGUAUGUGUGUGUAUUACUUUAAGUGUACUCUGGUUCCAGAGGCUCUUUGCGAGGCGAAAGAAACAAGAUGCGAGAACGGAGAGCCUCUGGUCACAUCAGGGCCGUAUCACCAGGGGGCAGUAAGGCUUAUAUGUUGAAAAAAGUUC
Non-coding RNA from Paramuricea clavata, 311 nucleotides. The record is from the annotation of a GenBank genome assembly. NCBI's taxonomy places the organism in Eukaryota, Metazoa, Cnidaria, Anthozoa, Malacalcyonacea, Plexauridae.